UCGNCUGUUUAUCAAAAACAUAACCAUUUGAGUUUAUAAAUGGCUAUUUCUGCUCAAUGAUAAAUUAAAUAGCCGCAGUACAAUGACUGUGCAAAGGUAGCAUAAUCAAUUGGCUUAUAAUUUAAGUCUAGAAUGAAUGAAAAAGGGGGGGAUGACUUUCUAUACCAAAAUUUCAGAAGUUAUUUAUUUAGUGCAAAUACUAAAAGAAAAAUAAAAGACGAGAAGACCCUAGAAAUUUACAGUACUGUUUUGUUGGGGCGACAAAGUAACAGGGAAACUUACUUAUUUUAAUGUGCAAUUAUAUUAAUGGAAUAAUGAAAUUACUCUAGGGAUAACAGCAUAAUAUUUUUGAAGUUUGUGACCUCGAUGUGGGACUAGGAUAGAUAAU
RNAcentral lists this ribosomal RNA (388 nucleotides) under Lobosculum pustula. RNAcentral's name for it is "partial 16S ribosomal RNA". It matches the Rfam family "Bacterial large subunit ribosomal RNA", at positions 1796 to 2550 of the family's 2925-position model. The record is from RNAcentral. Lineage: Eukaryota; Metazoa; Mollusca; Gastropoda; Stylommatophora; Polygyridae.